GCCGGGUGUUGUGGCGGGCGCCUGUAAUCCCAGCUACUCGGGAGGCUGAGGUGGGAGUAUCACUUGAACCCAGGAGACGGAGGUUGCAGUGAGCCGAGAUCCCACCACUGCACUCCAGCCUGGGCAACAGAGAGAGACUCCAUUUCAA
Molecule: non-coding RNA, 148 nt
Filed under: Gorilla gorilla gorilla (western lowland gorilla)
Lineage: Eukaryota; Metazoa; Chordata; Mammalia; Primates; Hominidae
Source: Rfam by way of RNAcentral